UACGGAGGGUGCGAGCGUUGUCCGGAAUCAUUGGGCGUAAAGCGCGCGUAGGCGGCCCGGUAAGUCCGCUGUAAAAGUCAAAGGCUCAACCUUUGAAUGUCAGUGGAUACUGCCGGGCUAGAGUCCGGAAGAGGCGAGUGGAACUCCUGGUGUAGCGGUGGAAUGCGCAGAUAUCAGGAAGAACACCGACGGCGAAGGCAGCUCGCUGGGACGGUACUGACGCUGAGGCGCGAAAGCGUGGGGAGCGAACAGG
RNAcentral lists this ribosomal RNA (253 nucleotides) under uncultured bacterium. Its description in RNAcentral is "partial 16S ribosomal RNA". It matches the Rfam family "Bacterial small subunit ribosomal RNA", at positions 524 to 776 of the family's 1533-position model. The record is from RNAcentral.